Molecule: ribosomal RNA, 497 nt
Filed under: uncultured bacterium
Lineage: Bacteria
Description: partial 16S ribosomal RNA
Rfam family: Bacterial small subunit ribosomal RNA
Source: RNAcentral
GAUGAACGCUGGCGGCGUGCCUAAUACAUGCAAGUCGAGCGAACAGACGAGGAGCUUGCUCCUCUGACGUUAGCGGCGGGCGGGUGAGUAACACGUGGAUAACCUACCUAUAAGACUGGGAUAACUUCGGGAAACCGGAGCUAAUACCGGAUAAUAUAUUGAACCGCAUGGUUCAAUAGUGAAAGACGGUUUUGCUGUCACUUAUAGAUGGAUCCGCGCCGCAUUAGCUAGUUGGUAAGGUAACGGCUUACCAAGGCAACGAUGCGUAGCCGACCUGAGAGGGUGAUCGGCCACACUGGAACUGAGACACGGUCCAGACUCCUACGGGAGGCAGCAGUAGGGAAUCUUCCGCAAUGGGCGAAAGCCUGACGGAGCAACGCCGCGUGAGUGAUGAAGGUAUUCGGAUCGUAAAACUCUGUUAUUAGGGAAGAACAAAUGUGUAAGUAACUAUGCACGUCUUGACGGUACCUAAUCAGAAAGCCACGGCUAACUACGUG